This 289-nucleotide long non-coding RNA is filed under the name Prunus persica (peach). RNAcentral's name for it is "long non-coding RNA (PPER_LNC005899)". The record is from RNAcentral. Lineage: Eukaryota; Viridiplantae; Streptophyta; Magnoliopsida; Rosales; Rosaceae.
UAAUAAUCCAAAUUAAAUUCAAUAGGGCCAGCUGCCAUUUUUUUGAGUUUUUUUUUUUGGUUUGUUUAUAGAAAUUAAAUGGUGUAAGUUUAUCUAUAUCAUUAGUGCUAAGAAUGAGUAUAUGACUUAAUAUCUCUUUUUAUUUUUCCUAUCGUUUUGACCUUUUAAAUGAGAUUAUUGCUGGACAUGAAGGACAAUUUCAUGUAAUUAUUUGGGUACAAAAUUUGAAAGUUUUGAAAAAUUUGAUUCUUCACAAUGGUCAAACUUUUGAAUAUAUUUUUCUAACUAG